UACGGGGGGGGCAAGCGUUGUUCGGAAUUACUGGGCGUAAAGGGCUCGUAGGUGGCCAAUUAAGUCAGACGUGAAAUCCCCAGGCUCAACCUGGGAACUGCGUCUGAUACUGGUUGGCUUGAAUUCGGGAGAGGGAUGCAGAAUUCCAGGUGUAGCGGUGAAAUGCGUAGAUAUCUGGAGGAACACCGGUGGCGAAGGCGGCAUCCUGGACCAACACUGACGCUGAGGAGCGAAAGCCAGGGGAGCAAACGGG
RNAcentral lists this ribosomal RNA (253 nucleotides) under uncultured bacterium. Its description in RNAcentral is "partial 16S ribosomal RNA". It matches the Rfam family "Bacterial small subunit ribosomal RNA", at positions 524 to 776 of the family's 1533-position model. The record is from RNAcentral.